CCGCCACUAGCUCAGCAGGAUAGAGCUGCAGCCUUCUAAUCUGUUGGUGCGAGGUUCGAAUCCCCGGGGGCGGACCA
Molecule: transfer RNA, 77 nt
Filed under: Salmonella enterica
Lineage: Bacteria; Pseudomonadati; Pseudomonadota; Gammaproteobacteria; Enterobacterales; Enterobacteriaceae
Description: tRNA-Arg
Rfam family: tRNA
About the family: Transfer RNA (tRNA) molecules are approximately 80 nucleotides in length.
Source: RNAcentral